GGGUUGUGAGGUUAAGCGACUAAGCGUACACGGUGGAUGCCCUGGCAGUCAGAGGCGAUGAAGGACGUGCUAAUCUGCGAUAAGCGUCGGUAAGGUGAUAUGAACCGUUAUAACCGGCGAUUUCCGAAUGGGGAAACCCAGUGUGAUUCGUCACACUAUCAUUAACUGAAUCCAUAGGUUAAUGAGGCGAACCGGGGGAACUGAAACAUCUAAGUACCCCGAGGAAAAGAAAUCAACCGAGAUUCCCCCAGUAGCGGCGAGCGAACGGGGAGCAGCCCAGAGCCUGAAUCAGUGUGUGUGUUAGUGGAAGCGUCUGGAAAGGCGCGCGAUACAGGGUGACAGCCCCGUACACAAAAAUGCACAUGCUGUGAGCUCGAUGAGUAGGGCGGGACACGUGGUAUCCUGUCUGAAUAUGGGGGGACCAUCCUCCAAGGCUAAAUACUCCUGACUGACCGAUAGUGAACCAGUACCGUGAGGGAAAGGCGAAAAGAACCCCGGCGAGGGGAGUGAAAAAGAACCUGAAACCGUGUACGUACAAGCAGUGGGAGCACAGAGCAAUCUGUGUGACUGCGUACCUUUUGUAUAAUGGGUCAGCGACUUAUAUUCUGUAGCAAGGUUAACCGAAUAGGGGAGCCGAAGGGAAACCGAGUCUUAACUGGGCGUUAAGUUGCAGGGUAUAGACCCGAAACCCGGUGAUCUAGCCAUGGGCAGGUUGAAGGUUGGGUAACACUAACUGGAGGACCGAACCGACUAAUGUUGAAAAAUUAGCGGAUGACUUGUGGCUGGGGGUGAAAGGCCAAUCAAACCGGGAGAUAGCUGGUUCUCCCCGAAAGCUAUUUAGGUAGCGCCUCGUGAAUUCAUCUCCGGGGGUAGAGCACUGUUUCGGCAAGGGGGUCAUCCCGACUUACCAACCCGAUGCAAACUGCGAAUACCGGAGAAUGUUAUCACGGGAGACACACGGCGGGUGCUAACGUCCGUCGUGAAGAGGGAAACAACCCAGACCGCCAGCUAAGGUCCCAAAGUCAUGGUUAAGUGGGAAACGAUGUGGGAAGGCCCAGACAGCCAGGAUGUUGGCUUAGAAGCAGCCAUCAUUUAAAGAAAGCGUAAUAGCUCACUGGUCGAGUCGGCCUGCGCGGAAGAUGUAACGGGGCUAAACCAUGCACCGAAGCUGCGGCAGCGACACUGUGUGUUGUUGGGUAGGGGAGCGUUCUGUAAGCCUGCGAAGGUGUGCUGUGAGGCAUGCUGGAGGUAUCAGAAGUGCGAAUGCUGACAUAAGUAACGAUAAAGCGGGUGAAAAGCCCGCUCGCCGGAAGACCAAGGGUUCCUGUCCAACGUUAAUCGGGGCAGGGUGAGUCGACCCCUAAGGCGAGGCCGAAAGGCGUAGUCGAUGGGAAACAGGUUAAUAUUCCUGUACUUGGUGUUACUGCGAAGGGGGGACGGAGAAGGCUAUGUUGGCCGGGCGACGGUUGUCCCGGUUUAAGCGUGUAGGCUGGUUUUCCAGGCAAAUCCGGAAAAUCAAGGCUGAGGCGUGAUGACGAGGCACUACGGUGCUGAAGCAACAAAUGCCCUGCUUCCAGGAAAAGCCUCUAAGCAUCAGGUAACAUCAAAUCGUACCCCAAACCGACACAGGUGGUCAGGUAGAGAAUACCAAGGCGCUUGAGAGAACUCGGGUGAAGGAACUAGGCAAAAUGGUGCCGUAACUUCGGGAGAAGGCACGCUGAUAUGUAGGUGAAGCGACUUGCUCGUGGAGCUGAAAUCAGUCGAAGAUACCAGCUGGCUGCAACUGUUUAUUAAAAACACAGCACUGUGCAAACACGAAAGUGGACGUAUACGGUGUGACGCCUGCCCGGUGCCGGAAGGUUAAUUGAUGGGGUUAGCGCAAGCGAAGCUCUUGAUCGAAGCCCCGGUAAACGGCGGCCGUAACUAUAACGGUCCUAAGGUAGCGAAAUUCCUUGUCGGGUAAGUUCCGACCUGCACGAAUGGCGUAAUGAUGGCCAGGCUGUCUCCACCCGAGACUCAGUGAAAUUGAACUCGCUGUGAAGAUGCAGUGUACCCGCGGCAAGACGGAAAGACCCCGUGAACCUUUACUAUAGCUUGACACUGAACAUUGAGCCUUGAUGUGUAGGAUAGGUGGGAGGCUUUGAAGUGUGGACGCCAGUCUGCAUGGAGCCGACCUUGAAAUACCACCCUUUAAUGUUUGAUGUUCUAACGUGGACCCGUAAUCCGGGUUGCGGACAGUGUCUGGUGGGUAGUUUGACUGGGGCGGUCUCCUCCUAAAGAGUAACGGAGGAGCACGAAGGUUGGCUAAUCCUGGUCGGACAUCAGGAGGUUAGUGCAAUGGCAUAAGCCAGCUUGACUGCGAGCGUGACGGCGCGAGCAGGUGCGAAAGCAGGUCAUAGUGAUCCGGUGGUUCUGAAUGGAAGGGCCAUCGCUCAACGGAUAAAAGGUACUCCGGGGAUAACAGGCUGAUACCGCCCAAGAGUUCAUAUCGACGGCGGUGUUUGGCACCUCGAUGUCGGCUCAUCACAUCCUGGGGCUGAAGUAGGUCCCAAGGGUAUGGCUGUUCGCCAUUUAAAGUGGUACGCGAGCUGGGUUUAGAACGUCGUGAGACAGUUCGGUCCCUAUCUGCCGUGGGCGCUGGAGAACUGAGGGGGGCUGCUCCUAGUACGAGAGGACCGGAGUGGACGCAUCACUGGUGUUCGGGUUGUCAUGCCAAUGGCACUGCCCGGUAGCUAAAUGCGGAAGAGAUAAGUGCUGAAAGCAUCUAAGCACGAAACUUGCCCCGAGAUGAGUUCUCCCUGACUCCUUGAGAGUCCUGAAGGAACGUUGAAGACGACGACGUUGAUAGGCCGGGUGUGUAAGCGCAGCGAUGCGUUGAGCUAACCGGUACUAAUGAACCGUGAGGCUUAACCUUACAACGCCGAAGGUGUUU
Molecule: ribosomal RNA, 2932 nt
Filed under: Escherichia coli
Lineage: Bacteria; Pseudomonadati; Pseudomonadota; Gammaproteobacteria; Enterobacterales; Enterobacteriaceae
Description: 23S ribosomal RNA
Rfam family: Bacterial large subunit ribosomal RNA
Source: RNAcentral